This 666-nucleotide long non-coding RNA is filed under the name Populus tremula. RNAcentral's name for it is "long non-coding RNA (PTRE_LNC002630)". The record is from RNAcentral. Lineage: Eukaryota; Viridiplantae; Streptophyta; Magnoliopsida; Malpighiales; Salicaceae.
UGAUUUUCAUUUUAUUAUUUUAGGUUACUAUUAUAUCUUAUUUUUUCAUCCAAAAUUUAAUCUUGGAUUUAUCCACAAAAAAAAAAAAAAACCAUAAGCUAUUUUUGUUCCAUGAUUCCAAGGCACUCCAUCUUCAGUAGCUGCAGUAUUGGAGCUCUGCUGGGAAGUAAUGUAAUUUAAAUUUCACCAGAUGAAAUCAAACCAAAAUAAUAAUAAUAAAUAAAUAAAUAAAAACAGAUUCUUUUAAACAUAAAAUCUUGAAUCUAUACGUCUAUCUAUUAUAUUAUAUAUUGAUUAAAAAUCAUUCAUCAAUCAUAUCAGAAUCGGGAAUCCUUCUCACACACAGCAACCUCUCGUACUGUGUCAGAAGUGUCCUAAGAUUUUCUUGAUUCAUCAUCUUGAUUGAUGCAAACACACAGCAAACAAGUUCUUUAAGAAAGAAAAAUCAAAGAUAACAAGUGGAGAAAAUGAAGGACGUAGCAAGUAGAGUUAGAUCAUCACCCACAUGCUCAUUUCACAAGCAUCUUCAUCUUUUUCCAUCACACCAUCAACAAGAAGCUCAAAUUCAAGGAGAACUGAGCCAAGAAAAGUAUAGAGAACAAAGAAGCAGAUAAGAAACAGGUGGCCUGUUAAUUAUUGAGCAAAAAAAGGUUAUCUCCUGGGUUG